UGUAGUUGUAUUGUAUUGCCAC
This 22-nucleotide microRNA is filed under the name Homo sapiens (human). RNAcentral describes it as "hsa-miR-4703-3p". The record is from miRBase by way of RNAcentral. Lineage: Eukaryota; Metazoa; Chordata; Mammalia; Primates; Hominidae.